GAUCAUGGCUCAGGACGAACGCUGGCGGCGUGCUUAACACAUGCAAGUCGAACGCUGAAGCCUGGCUUUUGUUGGGUGGAUGAGUGGCGAACGGGUGAGUAACACGUGAGUAACCUGCCCCCUUCUUUGGGAUAACGCCCGGAAACGGGUGCUAAUACUGGAUAUUCACUGGUCUUCGCAUGGGGGUUGGUGGAAAGGGUUUUCUGGUGGGGGAUGGGCUCGCGGCCUAUCAGCUUGUUGGUGGGGUGAUGG
This 252-nucleotide ribosomal RNA is filed under the name uncultured bacterium. Its description in RNAcentral is "partial 16S ribosomal RNA". It matches the Rfam family "Bacterial small subunit ribosomal RNA", at positions 15 to 263 of the family's 1533-position model. The record is from RNAcentral.